Molecule: unclassified non-coding RNA, 705 nt
Filed under: Hevea brasiliensis (rubber tree)
Lineage: Eukaryota; Viridiplantae; Streptophyta; Magnoliopsida; Malpighiales; Euphorbiaceae
Source: RNAcentral
UUUAAAAAAAAAAAAAUCAUAGGAGGUGGUAUUCCAAGGUUUUGUUUUAUAAAUAGUUUUUUAAUUAUUAUUAUUAUAUUAUAUUUUAUAAUAGCACAAAAUAUCAUUAAAUGAAAUCUAAAGUUAGUUAUUAGACUUGGUGGGGCUUUCAUUAUUAAUUAAUAUGCGACAUUGCACAUGUGGCCCUUCUGGGUAUGGGCACUGCCGUUGCAAACUGCAUCAAUUAUAUGUCAAAUUUAAAUUUCAAUUAAAAAUCUAAUGGAAAACAUUGAGCGAGUAGCAGAGCAAACGCCCAUAAUAUAUAUGAUCGCCCUUUGGGAAAUGGGUCUUCCUUUUCCUAGCAGAAUUUUGCUGACUAUUGCCAGUAGUCUUUAAUGACUAGGUUAUGGUUGGACCUUGACUGUAGAUUUUAAUGGCCUGAUUGAAACUUGCAGAUGCUUACUCUAUCAACCGAAAGAUUCCAUAAAAUUCAGAAGGAAGCUCCCUUAGAUUGCCAGAGCUAUCUUGUCCAAGUCACCAAGUACCAGGCUGCCAGAAAUUGCAAGGUACGUGGAUCAUAUUUCAACAUUAUUCUAAGCACGUAACUGUGAACUAAUUAAUGGAAAUUACAGUACUGUUUCUGAAACUGAUUGGUUUGUAUGGUGGUAAUGAUAGAAUUGGAUUGUCGGCAAGUGGAUCACACCUGGAGAGCAAAGCUGGGCUCCG